CUUGAACUCGCAAUAGCUUUGACUUCGCAUCGCCACUGAUAUCAAUUCAGCAACACGCGCCUCGAUGCAUGUGCGCAGCAAUGUUCCGGGCGCGAGCAGCGUGUGCUUUAUUUGUGUCUUUUCGACUUUUGUGCGGUUGACCAUGGCCCAACUAGAAAGUACUGGCUUUCUAUCUUGAAUCCGGUGGCCCCAGAAGCAGGUGCUGGCAAGCAGGCCAUGCACUUUUGGUCAUUAAUUAAUCCGCGUUUAACCUGUUUGUAUACAGCGAGAACAUGUAAUGAAUAAGUUCAUACAUGUGCGUGGCUGGGGGCCGAUCAUUUUUGUAAUAAAGCUUUAUAAGUUGUAUAAAUAAAAAAGUAACAUUGGUAUGACAUUGUGAGUUUCACUGGUGUGCUUUACCUAGUGCUUACUGAACUCACUAUUUUUCAUUUAUCCAUUGCAGGAUUUGUAAUGAUGCAUAAUGAUCAAAAUGCGGAUUUACGGUUUUCUUAGCACAGUUUUCGCAUUUGAUGAGCGCUAGAAC
This is a long non-coding RNA of Dermacentor silvarum, 523 nucleotides long. RefSeq lists it as uncharacterized. The transcript is spliced from 3 exons. The record is from RefSeq and is a predicted model, not a curated record. NCBI's taxonomy places the organism in Eukaryota, Metazoa, Arthropoda, Arachnida, Ixodida, Ixodidae.